Molecule: ribosomal RNA, 54 nt
Filed under: Polylepis australis
Lineage: Eukaryota; Viridiplantae; Streptophyta; Magnoliopsida; Rosales; Rosaceae
Description: partial 18S ribosomal RNA
Source: RNAcentral
AGGAAGGAGAGUCGUAACAAGGUUUCCGUAGGUGAACCUAUGGAAUGAUCACUG